CAAAUAUAUAUGCUGCUAUGCACAGAACACAAGGCCACAUAUUCCAGGGUUAGGAUCUUCAUCUCAAGAUGGCAUGGCAACUUCAUCCUUUCCAUAGAUACGCUGAAGUUCACGGGUGGCAGCUUGAUAUGAUGCUUUCCAGCUACGGAAAUUCUUCUGAUUAAUAGGAGACCCAGUCAUAUUUUGGAUUGCAUCAAACAGCAUCUCCUGAGGAGUGUUCUUCAGCUCCUGAACAACUGCAUAAAUGGUCUUUCCAUUCUCAAAGAAAAUAUGAUUGUUGGGGUGCUUGGUCUUGCAGCUAGCAUGACGCUCAAAUUCAUAAGCAUUCAGAGCCUUAGAGAAGUUGCAUUCCUGGCAGCCACAUAAAUACCCAGUCCCCUUUAUAAUUCCUUUAAGAUUUUUCUCCCUUGACCAUGAAACAUAUUUAACUGGAACCCCAUCGAGCAUGCCAGUCGAUGACAAACUUUUGACAUUUGAAGGGAAGUUGUUUGGAGGAACCUUCUUAGACGUCUUGGCAUCUUUGCUCUUGGGGGCCAUAUCAAAUUUUGAAUUAGCUUUUGGGGCAUUAUUUACAGUUG
This 578-nucleotide unclassified non-coding RNA is filed under the name Hevea brasiliensis (rubber tree). Lineage: Eukaryota; Viridiplantae; Streptophyta; Magnoliopsida; Malpighiales; Euphorbiaceae. The record is from RNAcentral.